This 140-nucleotide non-coding RNA is filed under the name Anoxynatronum buryatiense. Lineage: Bacteria; Bacillati; Bacillota; Clostridia; Eubacteriales; Clostridiaceae. The record is from RNAcentral.
UAACUGGUGAAAGUCCAGUCUGAGUAAAUGCCAAGAUGCUCAGUAGCUGACAGGCAACUGGUGGAGAAAUCCUAAGGUUGAAGCCCUGUGAAAAAGUACCGAUGAAAAUCGGGCAAGCAAACCAGCAGGUUGUAACAUGA